AGUUGUAUCCUGGCUCAGAACGAACGCUGGCGGCAGGCCUAACACAUGCAAGUCGAGCGAGACCUUCGGGUCUAGCGGCGGACGGGUUAGUAACGCGUGGGAACGUGCCCUUCUCUGCGGAAUAGCCACUGGAAACGGUGAGUAAUACCGCAUACGCCCUUCGGGGGAAAGAUUUAUCGGAGAAGGAUCGGCCCGCGUUAGAUUAGAUAGUUGGUGGGGUAAUGGCCUACCAAGUCUACGAUCUAUAGCUGGUUUUAGAGGAUGAUCAGCAACACUGGGACUGAGACACGGCCCAGACUCCUACGGGAGGCAGCAGUGGGGAAUCUUAGACAAUGGGCGCAAGCCUGAUCUAGCCAUGCCGCGUGUGUGAUGAAGGUCUUAGGAUCGUAAAGCACUUUCGCCAGGGAUGAUAAUGACAGUACCUGGUAAAGAAACCCCGGCUAACUCCGUGCCAGCAGCCGCGGUAAUACGGAGGGGGUUAGCGUUGUUCGGAAUUACUGGGCGUAAAGCGUACGUAGGCGGAUCAGAAAGUAUAGGGUGAAAUCCCAGGGCUCAACCCUGGAACUGCCUUGUAAACUCCUGGUCUUGAGUUCGAGAGAGGUGAGUGGAAUUCCAAGUGUAGAGGUGAAAUUCGUAGAUAUUUGGAGGAACACCAGUGGCGAAGGCGGCUCACUGGCUCGAUACUGACGCUNAGGUACGAAAGUGUG
This 707-nucleotide ribosomal RNA is filed under the name uncultured Sulfitobacter sp. Its description in RNAcentral is "bacterial SSU rRNA". It matches the Rfam family "Bacterial small subunit ribosomal RNA", at positions 10 to 763 of the family's 1533-position model. The record is from RNAcentral. Lineage: Bacteria; Pseudomonadati; Pseudomonadota; Alphaproteobacteria; Rhodobacterales; Roseobacteraceae.